CAGAAGAAACGACGCCGCACGCUAUUUUACUAUGCGAUGUUGGUUGAAACGACGUUGGAAGCUUGCAGUAUUGGAUCCGCAACGUGAAUUCGUCAAAUUGUGAUCUUGUUUCGAUUGAUCUCCAUGAUCGAAGUCGUUCAAGUUUUACAGCUUGUGAAGAAGAUAGAAAAUAUUAAAGAUCAUUUGGAUCGAAUUUUAAACGAUGCAUAAUCGGAGAUGAUCAAUGUGAAUUUGUUUUUAUGAAAAUAGACUUGGCCACACAUUAUCAAACCCAUUAUUCUCCAGCAAGAAUAGAUUCUCUCCGGCGAAGGGACGUUCCCGACGAGGAGAGAGAGAGAGAGAGGGAGGGAGAGAAUGUGGUUGUUCAGCAGAGAAGCAACUACUCAGCUGCUCGCUACUCCAUUCACAUUUCCAGUUGUGAUAGAUCACAAAAUGCCCAUGAUUUCUUGAAGCUUCAUAAAGAAAUGAUGGCCCAGAUUUCUGCAGCAGGCCACCAGAUCAACUCAUUCAAAUAAUGCGAUUUUCAGGUUUUCUGUGAUUAUGUGCACCAGGGCAUGCACAAAUCAAACAUACAAGAAAAUGAGAUGAAAAUCCAAAUCUGAAGAGACCAUUUGGAAAAGGGUUUGCCAUAUAAGCAGUAUGUGUCCGUCAUUCUGGUACAUACACUUUGGUUAUGGUGAUUUGGCAGUUUUCAAUCCCAUCUUUGCUGCUUCCUGUCUAUCACUAUGUUAUGUCCUUCAACCCUGCUGCGAUGCGAAACGAUCCCAGGGCUUGUUUGGUUCCAAUGCUCAUUUGCUUAUUUCUCAAAACUCAAAAGCAAGCAAUAAGCAAAUAUGCUUGUUUGGCAGCUGUUGGGUUACUUAGUUACCAAAUAGUACAAGAAAACCAACAACCAGCAUAAGCAAUUGGUAUCCAAAGAAUUCUGUUUACUCCUCAUUUCGGUUAUUGCUUAUUUGCACGAAAAAAAUUAAUAAGCAAUGGAAAUUAACCAAGCAAUGUGAACCAAAAGGGCCCUGAAUUUCUGAUUUGACGUGCCUGCAAACUGUUUUACAAAAUUAUUGCAUGUGAAAUUUACCAGGAACAGCUGAUGCUAGUACAAGGAGUCGAAGACGUGUGAAACUUGUGAGCCGACAUGUUUAAAGUGUCAAGUACUGAGGACUGGAAAAUUCUCAAGGGUUCUGCCAUGGAGUUUUCAACAUGGGAAUGAGUAGAUGUGCAGUAACCUCUUUCAAGUUUCUGUGUCUACAAUCUGCUGGGAUGAAAGAGAGGACCUUUUGUGGGCCCCACAACGAGAAAAUAGGCACAAAAAUAAUAGGAUCCAUGACACUGGAUCCAUGAAACUGUUUCAUGGAUCCAGUGUCAUAGUUUGUACCAGGCCACAAAAAUGAACCAUGACACUAGAUCCAUGAAAGUGUCCGUGAAAGAAAUCAUGGACUGUAUCAGGCCUCAAAUAGCCACACAAAAUCUCACAUCUGUACGUGGGACUCACGGAAGAAAUGUCUCAAAAGCACCAUACAUGAUUCUGAUGGCAAUUGCACUGACCCUUCAGGCUUCAAGUGGGGAUAUUGGUUUUCUUGGAUGAGACUAAGCUCAAAUGUCCUGUAUUGGUCUCUUGUAACUAAUGAGGGUUUAAAUAGUUGUUGGGAUUAAUAGUCUCGUGACUCUCACCGGUCUCGCUAUUAGACCGGUCUAAUAGCGAGGGGUUAUCAAGACUAUACUGGCAACAGUCGUUUGUUAACCAGAUUCAACCAAGUGUAGAAUAAGAUUAUGAUACCUUGUACUUCCCCUCUUAAUUUAGUCCCGCCUUAGAGCCCGUUCC
Molecule: long non-coding RNA, 1819 nt
Organism: Rhododendron vialii
Lineage: Eukaryota; Viridiplantae; Streptophyta; Magnoliopsida; Ericales; Ericaceae
Exons: 2
Source: RefSeq, a predicted model, not a curated record